UAACACAUGCAAGUCGAGCGGUAGCACAGAGAGCUUGCUCUCGGGUGACGAGCGGCGGACGGGUGAGUAAUGUCUGGGAAACUGCCUGAUGGAGGGGGAUAACUACUGGAAACGGUAGCUAAUACCGCAUAACGUCGCAAGACCAAAGUGGGGGACCUUCGGGCCUCAUGCCAUCAGAUGUGCCCAGAUGGGAUUAGCUAGUAGGUGGGGUAACGGCUCACCUAGGCGACGAUCCCUAGCUGGUCUGAGAGGAUGACCAGCCACACUGGAACUGAGACACGGUCCAGACUCCUACGGGAGGCAGCAGUGGGGAAUAUUGCACAAUGGGCGCAAGCCUGAUGCAGCCAUGCCGCGUGUGUGAAGAAGGCCUUCGGGUUGUAAAGCACUUUCAGCGGGGAGGAAGGCGGUGAGGUUAAUAACCUUGUCGAUUGACGUUACCCGCAGAAGAAGCACCGGCUAACUCCGUGCCAGCAGCCGCGGUAAUACGGAGGGUGCAAGCGUUAAUCGGAAUUACUGGGCGUAAAGCGCACGCAGGCGGUCUGUCAAGUCGGAUGUGAAAUCCCCGGGCUCAACCUGGGAACUGCAUUCGAAACUGGCAGGCUAGAGUCUUGUAGAGGGGGGUAGAAUUCCAGGUGUAGCGGUGAAAUGCGUAGAGAUCUGGAGGAAUACCGGUGGCGAAGGCGGCCCCCUGGACAAAGACUGACGCUCAGGUGCGAAAGCGUGGGGAGCAAACAGGAUUAGAUACCCUGGUAGUCCACGCCGUAAACGAUGUCGAUUUGGAGGUUGUGCCCUUGAGGCGUGGCUUCCGGAGCUAACGCGUUAAAUCGACCGCCUGGGGAGUACGGCCGCAAGGUUAAAACUCAAAUGAAUUGACGGGGGCCCGCACAAGCGGUGGAGCAUGUGGUUUAAUUCGAUGCAACGCGAAGAACCUUACCUGGUCUUGACAUCCACAGAACUUUCCAGAGAUGGAUUGGUGCCUUCGGGAACUGUGAGACAGGUGCUGCAUGGCUGUCGUCAGCUCGUGUUGUGAAAUGUUGGGUUAAGUCCCGCAACGAGCGCAACCCUUAUCCUUUGUUGCCAGCGGUUAGGCCGGGAACUCAAAGGAGACUGCCAGUGAUAAACUGGAGGAAGGUGGGGAUGACGUCAAGUCAUCAUGGCCCUUACGACCAGGGCUACACACGUGCUACAAUGGCAUAUACAAAGAGAAGCGACCUCGCGAGAGCAAGCGGACCUCAUAAAGUAUGUCGUAGUCCGGAUUGGAGUCUGCAACUCGACUCCAUGAAGUCGGAAUCGCUAGUAAUCGUAGAUCAGAAUGCUACGGUGAAUACGUUCCCGGGCCUUGUACACACCGCCCGUCACACCAUGGGAGUGGGUUGCAAAAGAAGUAGGUAGCUUAACCUUCGGGAGGGCGCUACC
This 1416-nucleotide ribosomal RNA is filed under the name Klebsiella pneumoniae subsp. pneumoniae. Its description in RNAcentral is "bacterial SSU rRNA". It matches the Rfam family "Bacterial small subunit ribosomal RNA". Lineage: Bacteria; Pseudomonadati; Pseudomonadota; Gammaproteobacteria; Enterobacterales; Enterobacteriaceae. The record is from RNAcentral.